Molecule: ribosomal RNA, 468 nt
Filed under: uncultured bacterium
Lineage: Bacteria
Description: partial 16S ribosomal RNA
Rfam family: Bacterial small subunit ribosomal RNA
Source: RNAcentral
GACGAACGCUGGCGGCGUGCUUAACACAUGCAAGUCGAACGGAAAGGCCCUGCUUUUGUGGGGUGCUCGAGUGGCGAACGGGUGAGUAACACGUGAGUAACCUGCCCUUGACUUUGGGAUAACUUCAGGAAACUGGGGCUAAUACCGGAUAGGAGCUCCUGCUGCAUGGUGGGGGUUGGAAAGUUUCGGCGGUUGGGGAUGGACUCGCGGCUUAUCAGCUUGUUGGUGGGGUAGUGGCUUACCAAGGCUUUGACGGGUAGGCGGCCUGAGAGGGUGACCGGCCACAUUGGGACUGAGAUACGGCCCAGACUCCUACGGGAGGCAGCAGUGGGGAACAUGGCACAAUGGGCGGAAGCCUGAUGCAGCAACGCCGCGUGCGGGAUGACGGCCUUCGGGUUGUAAACCGCUGUCGCCUGUGACGAAGCGUGAGUGACGGUAAUGGGUAAAGAAGCACCGGCUAACUACGUG